GUGAGUGAUGAAGGCCUUCGGGUUGUAAAGCUCUGUCUUCUGGGACGAUAAUGACGGUACCAGAGGAGGAAGCCACGGCUAACUACGUGCCAGCAGCCGCGGUAAUACGUAGGUGGCAAGCGUUGUCCGGAUUUACUGGGCGUAAAGGAUGCGUAGGCGGAUACUUAAGUCAGAUGUGAAAAUCCCGGGCUUAACUUGGGAACUGCAUUUGAAACUGGGUAUCUAGAGUGCGGGAGAGGAAAGUGGAAUUCCUAGUGUAGCGGUGAAAUGCGUAGAGAUUAGGAAGAACACCAGUGGCGAAGGCGACUUUCUGGACCGUAACUGACGCUGAGGCAUGAAAGCGUGGGGAGCAAACAGGAUUAGAUACCCU
This 370-nucleotide ribosomal RNA is filed under the name uncultured bacterium. Its description in RNAcentral is "bacterial SSU rRNA". It matches the Rfam family "Bacterial small subunit ribosomal RNA", at positions 401 to 788 of the family's 1533-position model. The record is from RNAcentral.